Arabidopsis thaliana (thale cress) is the source of this 355-nucleotide long non-coding RNA. RefSeq annotates it as other RNA. The record is from RefSeq. The transcript has a single exon. NCBI's taxonomy places the organism in Eukaryota, Viridiplantae, Streptophyta, Magnoliopsida, Brassicales, Brassicaceae.
GCUUCUUCUUCGUCGUAAGCCCCUUAUCCAUAAAACCAUAUAUUAAUUUAAUAAGAAUUAUACAAUAUUGUUUGAAUUAUAUUUAUAUAAGUCGAAAAGGACAUAUACGAAUUGCAUUGGAUUUGGACCCAAAAAAGAACAGCUAAUAAUAAACAGGUUCUACCAAUUUCGGUGGAAUUCAUUCUUUAAUUUACAGCCAUAUCACACAUGUAUAUAUGGACUUUUUUCAUCACUUUGUCGAAGAGUAUUUAAAAGAAAAAGUGACAGGAAAAAAAAAAGAAAAAGAAGGAAAAGUACAAUACUUUAUCAAAAUGUGUAUUUUUUUGCAACUUAUAUAAAAAAAUAGGAUAUUGGC